UUUCCGGUUGAUCCUGCCGGAGGCCAUUGCUAUCGGAGUCCGAUUUAGCCAUGCUAGUCGAGCGAGGUUAGCCCUCGCGGCGAACAGCUCAGUAACACGUGGCCAAGCUACCCUGCAGAGGGGGACAGCGUCGGGAAACUGACGGGAAUCCCCCAUACCGGUCUCACGCUGGAAUGCCGAGACCGACAAACGCUCCGGCGCGGCAGGAUGCGGCUGCGGCCGAUUAGGUAGUCGGUGGGGUAACGGCCCACCGAGCCGAUAAUUGGUACGGGGUGUGAGAGCACGAGCCCGGAGACGGAAUCUGAGACAAGAUUCCGGGCCCUACGGGGCGCAGCAGGCGCGAAACCUUUACACUGCACGCACGUGCGAUAAGGGGACUCCGAGUGCGAGGGCAUAUCGUCCUCGCUUUCGUGUACCGUAGGGUGGUACACCAACAAGGGCUGGGCAAGACCGGUGCCAGCCGCCGCGGUAAUACCGGCAGCUCGAGUGAUGGCCGAUUUUAUUGGGCCUAAAGCGUCCGUAGCUGGCCCUGCAAGUCCGUCGGGAAAUCCACUCGCCUAACGAGUGGGCGUCCGGCGGAAACUACAGGGCUUGGGACCGGAAGACUUGAGGGGUACGUCUGGGGUAGGAGUGAAAUCCUGUAAUCCUGGACGGACCGCCGAUAGCGAAAGCACCUCAAGACGACGGAUCCGACAGUGAGGGACGAAAGCUAGGGUCUCGAACCGGAUUAGAUACCCGGGUAGUCCUAGCUGUAAACGAUGUUCGCUAGAUGUGGCACAGGCUACGUGCCUGUGCUGUGUCGUAGGGAAGCCGCUAAGCAGGCCGCCUGGGAAGUACGUCCGCAAGGAUGAAACUUAAAGGAAUUGGCGGGGGAGCACUACAACCGGAGGAGCCUGCGGUUUAAUUGGAUUCAACGCCGGGA
RNAcentral lists this ribosomal RNA (922 nucleotides) under uncultured archaeon. RNAcentral describes it as "bacterial SSU rRNA". It matches the Rfam family "Archaeal small subunit ribosomal RNA", at positions 1 to 923 of the family's 1478-position model. The record is from RNAcentral.